Molecule: long non-coding RNA, 442 nt
Organism: Haliotis rubra (blacklip abalone)
Lineage: Eukaryota; Metazoa; Mollusca; Gastropoda; Lepetellida; Haliotidae
Exons: 3
Source: RefSeq, a predicted model, not a curated record
GAUACCCGUGCUUCAAACAGUUCAAAAUUACCAUUGAGGUGUUCGCCUAAGACUUUGAAAGUCAGAAAGGACGUUACCUCAACAAUCUCCAGUGUCGACUUGACCAUGAAAUGCAUCCAUAUUGCUGCUUGCGCUCACAAUAGUGUGGUCAUAUCUGGCAAUAAGGAAAACCAAAUCUACUGUUAGUGACUGACUACUCUGUAUAACUCUGAUCCCCUAUCCAUGCUCCCCUAUCCAUGCUCACCGUGGCGGCAACACAGUCAAGUUCCCGACCCCCGUGAUUGGACACUAAAAUAGCAUCAGCGCCAGCCCUCAAGGCUUCUCGGGCCCCCUCACCUGGCAACACAGAGACAUGACAAGACAUCCCGGCACGUGACCUCAAUCCCUCCAACACACCUGGCCUGAAAAUGUUCCAUUGCACGAAGCUGAACUGAACAAAAAU